This 404-nucleotide ribosomal RNA is filed under the name uncultured Skermanella sp. Its description in RNAcentral is "bacterial SSU rRNA". It matches the Rfam family "Bacterial small subunit ribosomal RNA", at positions 355 to 776 of the family's 1533-position model. Lineage: Bacteria; Pseudomonadati; Pseudomonadota; Alphaproteobacteria; Rhodospirillales; Azospirillaceae. The record is from RNAcentral.
UGGGGAAUAUUGGACAAUGGGCGCAAGCCUGAUCCAGCAAUGGCGCGUGAGUGAUGAAGGCCUUCGGGUUGUAAAGCUCUUUCGCACGCGACGAUGAUGACGGUAGCGUGAGAAGAAGCCCCGGCUAACUUCGUGCCAGCAGCCGCGGUAAUACGAAGGGGGCUAGCGUUGUUCGGAAUUACUGGGCGUAAAGGGCGCGUAGGCGGUGUGUCAAGUCAGGCGUGAAAGCCCCGGGCUCAACCUGGGAACCGCGCUUGAGACUGGCACGCUAGAGUUCGGGAGAGGAUGGUGGAAUUCCCAGUGUAGAGGUGAAAUUCGUAGAUAUUGGGAAGAACACCGAUGGCGAAGGCAGCCAUCUGGACCGACACUGACGCUGAGGCGCGAAAGCGUGGGGAGCAAACAGG